RNAcentral lists this ribosomal RNA (1463 nucleotides) under human gut metagenome. Its description in RNAcentral is "bacterial LSU rRNA". It matches the Rfam family "Bacterial large subunit ribosomal RNA", at positions 703 to 1999 of the family's 2925-position model. The record is from RNAcentral.
CGCGCCGCGGACGCGAAGCCGGGUGAGCUAUCCGUGGGCAGGCUGAAGCGGGGGUAAGACCCCGUGGAGGGCCGAACCCACCUAGGUUGAAAACUGGGGGGAUGAGCUGUGGGUAGGGGUGAAAGGCCAAUCAAACUCCGUGAUAGCUGGUUCUCCCCGAAAUGCAUUUAGGUGCAGCGUCGCGUGGUCCCUGGUGGAGGUAGAGCUACUGGAUGGCCGAUGGGCCCUAUGGGUUACUGACGUCAGCCAAACUCCGAAUGCCAUUAGGUGUAGCGUGGCAGUGAGACUGCGGGGGAUAAGCUUCGUAGUCGAGAGGGAAACAGCCCAGAUCAUCAGCUAAGGCCCCUAAGCGUACGCUAAGUGGGAAAGGAUGUGGAGUCGCGGUGACAACCAGGAGGUUGGCUUAGAAGCAGCCAUCCUUGAAAGAGUGCGUAAUAGCUCACUGGUCAAGUGGUUCUGCGCCGACAAUGUAGCGGGGCUCAAGCGUACCGCCGAAGCUGUGGCAACAACACGUGAUGCUGGCGCCAGGAACUGGAGUGCUGGUGUGUUGUUGGGUAGGGGAGCGUCCUGCACGAGGUGAAGCCUGGAGGGAACUUCUGGUGGAUUGUGUGGGAGUGAGAAUGCAGGCAUGAGUAACGAAUCUGCGGUGAGAAUCCGCAGCGCCGAUUGACUAAGGGUUCCAGGGCUAGGUUUAUCCGCCCUGGGUUAGUCGGGUCCUAAGGCGAGGCCGACAGGCGUAGUCGAUGGACAACCAGUUGAUAUUCUGGUACCGCGUUAUGACCGCCCAUGCUGAAGUCAUUGUGCUAACCAAUUUGCUCACGCACCCACGUAACCUUCGGGUUUGUUGGUGUGUGUGGGUCUUGGGGCCCCGGUGAUUGUAGGCAAGCGUGUUAACAGGGGUGACGCAGACAGGUAGCUGCAGUGCGCCGAUGGUUGUGCGUAUUUAAGGUUGUGGCCCGUCUCCUAGGUAAAUCCGGGAGACACUGUGGGUGAGAACUGAUGAGGGACGCACGUGUGUGUGGACUUGUGGUGAUCCUAUGCUGCCGAGAAAAGCCUCGACGCGAGGGGGCAAGGCGCCCGUACCCUAAACCGACUCAGGUGGUCAGGUAGAGUAUACCGAGGCGUUCGAGUGAAUCGUGGUUAAGGAACUCGGCAAAAUUCCUCCGUAACUUCGGGAUAAGGAGGACCCCGUGACUUCCCUCCACCAUUGCGUGGGGGUGGGGUUGUGGGGUCGCAGAGAAUAGGGAGAAGCGACUGUUUAUCAAAAACACAGGUGCGUGCGAAGCCGUAAGGCGAUGUAUACGCACUGACGCCUGCCCGGUGCUGGAAGGUUAAGAGGAACCGUCAACACCCCCAUGGGGUGUGAAGCGGUGAAUUUAAGCCCCAGUAAACGGCGGUGGUAACUAUAACCAUCCUAAGGUAGCGAAAUUCCUUGUCGGGUAAGUUCCGACCUGCACGAAUGG